UACGAAGGGGGCUAGCGUUGCUCGGAAUGACUGGGCGUAAAGGGCGCGUAGGCGGUUCGUACAGUCAGACGUGAAAUUCCCGGGCUCAACCUGGGGGCUGCGUUUGAUACGUACGGGCUUGAGUUCGGAAGAGGGUCGUGGAAUUCCCAGUGUAGAGGUGAAAUUCGUAGAUAUUGGGAAGAACACCGGUGGCGAAGGCGGCGACCUGGUCCGAUGACUGACGCUGAGGCGCGAAAGCGUGGGGGAGCAAACAGG
Molecule: ribosomal RNA, 255 nt
Filed under: uncultured bacterium
Lineage: Bacteria
Description: partial 16S ribosomal RNA
Rfam family: Bacterial small subunit ribosomal RNA
Source: RNAcentral